This 384-nucleotide long non-coding RNA is filed under the name Triticum aestivum (bread wheat). Its description in RNAcentral is "long non-coding RNA (TAES_LNC027243)". Lineage: Eukaryota; Viridiplantae; Streptophyta; Magnoliopsida; Poales; Poaceae. The record is from RNAcentral.
UAGGUGUGCAUGACAUACUGAUCAUCAUUUGAACUAAUCUAUGAUCUUGUUUGCAAUUUCAGGGUGGUGUAGCAAGCAAGCAAGAAUUGGAGAGGUAUCAUUAUGAGCUAAUCUGGACCAUGUACAGAGUUGACAAUAGUUCAAAAAAUAUCUGUGCACUGAAGGUUGAGAUUCCAAUUCACAUGUACAUUGUUCUGCAUUUUCUACAGUCUUCGGUGCAUGCUUGGAGAAGAGGCUAAGAUGAGAGGCUUCAAUCUGGAGAUGACAAGGAUAGUCACCUGGUGCAACUAAAGGUUCGGUUUCAUACUUGUGAAGUUGUGAUGAUAUUGUUCAGGUAGUACUCCCUGACUGAUUUCACUUGUACUAUUUCUUCACAGAAGGUAC